AAUGUCUGGGAAACUGCCUGAUGGAGGGGGAUAACUACUGGAAACGGUAGCUAAUACCGCAUAACGUCGCAAGACCAAAGAGGGGGACCUUCGGGCCUCUUGCCAUCGGAUGUGCCCAGAUGGGAUUAGCUAGUAGGUGGGGUAACGGCUCACCUAGGCGACGAUCCCUAGCUGGUCUGAGAGGAUGACCAGCCACACUGGAACUGAGACACGGUCCAGACUCCUACGGGAGGCAGCAGUGGGGAAUAUUGCACAAUGGGCGCAAGCCUGAUGCAGCCAUGCCGCGUGUAUGAAGAAGGCCUUCGGGUUGUAAAGUACUUUCAGCGGGGAGGAAGGCGACAGGGUUAAUAACCCUGUCGAUUGACGUUACCCGCAGAAGAAGCACCGGCUAACUCCGUGCCAGCAGCCGCGGUAAUACGGAGGGUGCAAGCGUUAAUCGGAAUUACUGGGCGUAAAGCGCACGCAGGCGGUCUGUCAAGUCGGAUGUGAAAUCCCCGGGCU
This 501-nucleotide ribosomal RNA is filed under the name Enterobacter asburiae. RNAcentral's name for it is "bacterial SSU rRNA". It matches the Rfam family "Bacterial small subunit ribosomal RNA", at positions 112 to 609 of the family's 1533-position model. The record is from RNAcentral. Lineage: Bacteria; Pseudomonadati; Pseudomonadota; Gammaproteobacteria; Enterobacterales; Enterobacteriaceae.